GCAUAUCAAUAAGCGGAGGAAAAGAAACCAACAGGGAUUGCCUUAGUAGCGGCGAGCGAAGCGGCAACAGCUCAAAUUUGAAAUCUGGCUACUUUGUAGUCCGAGUUGUAAUUUGCAGAGGAUGCUUUUGGUGAGGUGCCUUCCGAGUUCCCUGGAACGGGACGCCAGAGAGGGUGAGAGCCCCGUACGGUUGGACACCAAACCUUUGUAUAGCUCCUUCAACGAGUCGAGUAGUUUGGGAAUGCUGCUCUAAAUGGGAGGUAUAUCUCUUCUAAAGCUAAAUACCGGCUAGAGACCGAUAGCGCACAAGUAGAGUGAUCGAAAGAUGAAAAGCACUUUGAAAAGAGAGUUAAACAGCACGUGAAAUUGUUGAAAGGGAAGCGCCUAUGACCAGACUUGUUUCUGUCAGUUUUGCUUGUUUUCGGACUUGUUUACUCUGUCAGUACAGGCCAACAUCAGUUUGUUGUUUGGGAGAAAGGCUUAGGGAAUGUGGCUCCCUCGGGAGUGUUAUAGCCCUUUGCAUAAUACCAUUCGGCAGACUGAGGACCGCGCUUCGGCAAGGAUGUUGGCGUAAUGGUCAUCAGCGACCCGUCUUGAAACACGGACCAAGGAGUCAACCUUAUGUGCGAGUGUUUGGGUGUAAAACCCCAGCGCGUAAUGAACGUGAACGUAGGUGAGAGCUUCGGCGCAUCAUCGACCGAUUCUGAUGUUCUCGGAUGGAUUUGAGUAAGAGCAUAUAGGGUUGGACCCGAAAGAAGGUGAACUAUGCUUGUAUAGGGUGAAGCCAGAGGAAACUCUGGUGGAGGCUCGCAGCGGUUCUGACGUGCAAAUCGAUCGUCAAAUAUGAGCAUGGGGCGAAAGACUAAUCGAACCUUCUAGUAGCUGGUUCCAGCCGAAGUU
This 900-nucleotide ribosomal RNA is filed under the name Endoconidiophora coerulescens. RNAcentral's name for it is "LSU rRNA". It matches the Rfam family "Eukaryotic large subunit ribosomal RNA", at positions 38 to 968 of the family's 3401-position model. Lineage: Eukaryota; Fungi; Ascomycota; Sordariomycetes; Microascales; Ceratocystidaceae. The record is from RNAcentral.